This is a long non-coding RNA of Silurus meridionalis, 448 nucleotides long. RefSeq lists it as uncharacterized. The transcript is spliced from 6 exons. The record is from RefSeq and is a predicted model, not a curated record. Lineage: Eukaryota; Metazoa; Chordata; Actinopteri; Siluriformes; Siluridae.
CUUCGGUGGUGUAUAAAUCCGGUGCGCCACAUGCGCGUGGUCUUUCCUGUUCGCUAUGGCGGUGCUUCUCUUCACUCCGCUCCAUAAACGAUCAGCACUGCUGUUACAGGCUUAUUCCUCUUUCAAAGUGCCCUGAUGGCGCUCGUGUCUUCCACUGCUCCAGACUGAGGCCUUCUGUGUGUAACCAGAUCCUAUAGAUCACUGUGUUGGUGCACGGCUGAUGUUUACGAUUCAUUAGACACACAGCCAUGGUGUGCUGAACUAAGUGGUGUUCCUGGUCUCUGAGACAUGUAGUGUAUUCCUAUGAUGGACUGUUAGUGCUAGAGAAACAAGGUUGAUGAAAAUGCUGACUUUCCUUUUUGUGAAGGAUCAAGGAAGACUGACAAAGUAAUUUUGUAUUGUACAAUACCUGAACAUUUAAAAAAAUAAAGUUGCAUUUUGGAGUUUA